RNAcentral lists this ribosomal RNA (115 nucleotides) under Salvator merianae (Argentine black and white tegu). Lineage: Eukaryota; Metazoa; Chordata; Lepidosauria; Squamata; Teiidae. The record is from RNAcentral.
ACCAACAAUUGUUCUGGACUGAUGCUGAUCUUGUCUGAUCUCAGAAAUUAAGCAGGUUUAGGCCUGGUUAGCAUUUGGGUGGAGGAUUCUGUGGGAAUAACAAGUGCUGUGGAUU